This is a long non-coding RNA of Drosophila persimilis, 569 nucleotides long. RefSeq lists it as uncharacterized. The record is from RefSeq and is a predicted model, not a curated record. Lineage: Eukaryota; Metazoa; Arthropoda; Insecta; Diptera; Drosophilidae. The transcript is spliced from 3 exons.
AACAAAUUUUGUUUAGUUUCCGGCUUCUGUUUGUUUUCUGAAAUUUUACGGAUCAAAAAUGUGUAGCCCUUGUGGAUCGUGCUGCAGUCCCUGCUGCGGUCCGUGCUGCGGUCCUUGCUGCGGUCCGUGCUGCGGUCCUUGCUGCGGUCCGUGCAGCGGUCCUUGCUGUGGACCCUGCUGUGGACCCUGCUGUGAUCCGUGCUGUGGACCCUGCUAUGGACCCAAUGUCUGCGGACCGUGCGGUGCAACGGGACCCUGUACAGGCUGUUGUGGAGGCUGUUGCUGAGCAAUAGGAAUUGCAAACGACAGGGUCUAAACCUCCAUCACAAGUCCGACGAAACCUACAGAAAGCUUGAAGCUAUCGUGUAGUCUCUACGAAUAAAGCAUUUACUAAAACAAAAAUUUCACUAAUCACUAAUCGGCUUCGUUAUAUAGUAAACUAUCAAUCUUGCCGGAGCUAUAGCUAUAUGCCACAGGGAACAGUCGGGAGCAGUCUCCCUAUUAGGAGGAGGACGCAAAAAAGCGGAGCUCUAAAAAUCGAAUACAAAAUACAGGCAAAACUUGGCGAG